This is a long non-coding RNA of Oncorhynchus gorbuscha (pink salmon), 869 nucleotides long. RefSeq lists it as uncharacterized. Lineage: Eukaryota; Metazoa; Chordata; Actinopteri; Salmoniformes; Salmonidae. The record is from RefSeq and is a predicted model, not a curated record. The transcript is spliced from 3 exons.
CCUCACUUUCCUUCACUGAAUUGGGCUCCGUUGUUUCAUCACCCCCCAACCAAUGCGUUCAAAGGAUCACAGACAUUUGAGACUGAAAAGCCCUAGCUAUACAGGUUGACCAUGCAAUGCAUGCUUCCCGCAUGAUGCACAGACAACAUCUAUGGUUUGCAUGCCCUGAUAAAGAACCAUAUCAUUUGAAAUAGGUGGUUAGAGUUCGUUGGUCUCCAUUGGUGUGUACAGUUGGGUGCCAGACUUAUCCCCUGGUCAGGAACGGAUGCCGGAACCUACCAGAAGGAGCAAAGUUGGAUAUCAUAACAUGUCCAGCAACGUGAUUGCAAUGGUUUAGUAACCUCCAAAAUCACUUAAUUCACUAUUCACUUGCUAUUUUACAACUUGUCAGGCAAGACCUCAGAAUAAAAGUAUGUUAUGUGACACAAGUACCCUUUUGACACAUUGGCCGUUAUUGUCAGUCUCCCAUCAUGAGGCCGUUGAUUUGGACCCAAGUUACUGCCCUGAUGACACAGACAGCUUCCUCAACAACAACAGGCCCUCCCAGUCAACACCACAUAAGAUUGCUUGCUGCAGUUGUUCGAGAGAUGUCCAGUUUGCAGCCAAACAUGCAGCAUAGACAAGAUCAGCAUCGUGCAUACAUGCCCUUGCUGUGAGCAUUCCUAUGAAUGGAACAGUCAGCCACUUGUAUCCGGCCAGCAACCUUCACCUGUUAGCGGUAACAGCUUUCACAGGCUCACCAUAUGUAUAAAUACAGAUCAUCACUUCAUUACUUUGAUACAUUUGAUACCAGCCUGAUCGGUGUGUUCACCAUUCUACUUCACUUCACAUUUUAUGAUAUCUUAAGUCAAAUAAAAAGGUCAACAGAG